UGCGCCUUGCCACGCCCGCUCAGAAACUUAAAGGAAGUUAGACGGGGGCCCGGCACAAGCGGUGGAGCACGUGGUUUAAUUCGAAGCAACGCGAAGAACCUACCAGGCCUUGACAUGCAGAGAACUUCCAGAGAUGGAUUGGUGCCUUCGGGAACUCUGACACAGGUGCUGCAUGGCUGUCGUCAGCUCGUGUCGUGAGAUGUUGGGUUAAGUCCCGUAACGAGCGCAACCCUUGUCCUUAGUUACCAGCACGUUAUGGUGGGCACUCUAAGGAGACUGCCGGUGACAAACCGGAGGAAGGUGGGGAUGACGUCAAGUCAUCACGGCCCUUACGGCCUGGGCUACACACGUGCUACAAUGGUCGGUACAAAGGGUUGCCAAGCCGCGAGGUGGAGCUAAUCCCAUAAAACCGAUCGUAGUCCGGAUCGCAGUCUGCAACUCGACUGCGUGAAGUCGGAAUCGCUAGUAAUCGUGAAUCAGAAUGUCACGGUGAAUACGUUCCCGGGCCUU
This 510-nucleotide ribosomal RNA is filed under the name uncultured Pseudomonas sp. RNAcentral describes it as "bacterial SSU rRNA". It matches the Rfam family "Bacterial small subunit ribosomal RNA", at positions 903 to 1382 of the family's 1533-position model. The record is from RNAcentral. Lineage: Bacteria; Pseudomonadati; Pseudomonadota; Gammaproteobacteria; Pseudomonadales; Pseudomonadaceae.